UUAAUGUUAAAUGUGCAGUGCGUUCCCGAAAUGGGCCAUAGACACUUUCGAAGAAAAUUAUAUUAAGAACAUUCCGGAAAUUGUUUUGGCAAAGUAAUCAUUCAUUGAUCUAACCUGCAGCGGGUAGUGACUUUGCCAGUUUGCCAUAAAGACCAGCUCGUUCAAAACCAAAAAUAUCUUUAAUUGUUUCCUGGACAUGAAACAAGAAUAUACUCGGUAGUCAGCGUUGUCCUAAAGCAUUACAAUUUAAAAUUAAUUUUGUGUCAACAAAUAUGCAUUUUCUCAUUUAUUGUAUUAAAAAAAUUAAAUAUAUAAAUAAAUUAAACGUUGAAACUAGAAAGUGUGACACAAACAUUAGUCCGAUAUUGACGUCAUCGCUCUUUCAAAACAACCCCAACCUGCAAUUGUCUCACUGAACCAAAGAAAAAAAGCGGGUACCUAAGUGGAUGUCGCUCAUCUGCUGUAUAGGAGGUUACAAGUGGAUGUGAUAAAUUUGAAUUCAAUGAUAUGAAAUCAUUGUAUACGAAAAACGAUCCUGUGCGAAGACGGUCUGUCUGCAGACUGUAACAUUACUUAUUAUAGGUAUCCAAGCUAAAGCUAAAGCUAAACAAAUUGAAAACUGAAAAAGUCAGUAAACAGCUCAAGAUGAUUUAAAAUGUUUUGAAAAAUGUUCAAGUAUAGGUAUUGGUAUGGGGUAAAUUUAAAGUAUCUACAGUUAUUCCUUUUUGAAUUACAAUAAAAAAGAAAAUCGUUAAACAUUAUGAGAAUUCUAGUGAAUUCAAUGUUGUAAAAAUUUGAACUUCAAACGCUCCUACAAAUUGAAUUUGACUUUUCGCCUUUCGCUACACUUUUUUUGAAAAAAUAAAUAGACAAAUUA
Long non-coding RNA from Myzus persicae (green peach aphid), 877 nucleotides. RefSeq lists it as uncharacterized. NCBI's taxonomy places the organism in Eukaryota, Metazoa, Arthropoda, Insecta, Hemiptera, Aphididae. The record is from RefSeq and is a predicted model, not a curated record. The transcript is spliced from 3 exons.